UGUGUCCAAUGCAAUAUAGACGACAUAAUCCAGUGGAAAAGUAUUAUGAUUAAUAUAUAAUACUAGGAUGGAAACAACAACAUCACUUCUCGAUUUAGCGUGUGGUCCCGUCUGUUUGUUUCCUUCUGAUUCUGAUUUUGAGAGGCAAGAGAGAGAGAGAAAAAUAAAUCAGAACUUGGUAAAAGAAGAGAACGGCUAUGAGACAGCAGUGGAUAAUGGUACAAUGAUGCAGCUCAUCGUGCGGGAAAAUAUCAUUAGCGCUGGCACUUUGGGUGUGCAACUGAAAAGUAUUAAUAAACAAUCAAUUAAGCCACUACUAACCAGGUGUUAGCAGUAGUACUAGUAGUAAAGCAGUGGUACUUGCUUGAGAUGCAGAGCUUUGCUUCCCUGCCUUGACUGCCUUUCUCU
This 408-nucleotide long non-coding RNA is filed under the name Sorghum bicolor (sorghum). RNAcentral's name for it is "long non-coding RNA (SBIC_LNC018353)". The record is from RNAcentral. Lineage: Eukaryota; Viridiplantae; Streptophyta; Magnoliopsida; Poales; Poaceae.